AUUGAACGCUGGCGGCAGGCUUAACACAUGCAAGUCGAGCGAGAGGCGGACGGGUGAGUAAUGUCUGGGAAACGGCCUGAUGGAGGGGGAUAACAACUGGAAACGGUAGCUAAUACAGCAUACAAUCAGAUGUGCCCAGAUGGGAUUAGAUAGUAGGUGGGGUAAUGGCUAAACUAGGCGACGUUCCCUAGCUGGUCUGAGAGGAUGACCAGCCACGCUGGAACUGAGACACGGUCCAGACUCCUCCGAGAGGCAGCAGUGGGGAAUAUUGCACAAUGGGCGCAAGCCUGAUGCAGCCAGGCCGCGUGUUUGAAGAAGGCCUUCGGGUUGUAAAGCACUUUCAGCGAGGAGGCGUUACUCGCAGAAGAAUCACCGGCUAACUCCGUGCCAGCAGCCGCGGUAAUUC
This 406-nucleotide ribosomal RNA is filed under the name uncultured bacterium. Its description in RNAcentral is "partial 16S ribosomal RNA". It matches the Rfam family "Bacterial small subunit ribosomal RNA", at positions 30 to 526 of the family's 1533-position model. The record is from RNAcentral.